This 471-nucleotide ribosomal RNA is filed under the name uncultured bacterium. Its description in RNAcentral is "bacterial SSU rRNA". It matches the Rfam family "Bacterial small subunit ribosomal RNA", at positions 11 to 528 of the family's 1533-position model. The record is from RNAcentral.
GUUUGAUCCUGGCUCAGAACGAACGCUGGCGGCAGGCCUAACACAUGCAAGUCGAGCGCGCCCUUCGGGGUGAGCGGCGGACGGGUUAGUAACGCGUGGGAANGUACCCUUCUCUACGGAAUAGCCUUUGGAAACGAAGNGUAAUACCGUAUACGCCCUUCGGGGGAAAGAUUUAUCGGAGAAGGAUCAGCCCGCGUUAGAUUAGAUAGUUGGUGGGGUAAUGGCCUACCAAGUCUACGAUCUAUAGCUGGUUUUAGAGGNUGAUCAGCAACACUGGGACUGAGACACGGCCCAGACUCCUACGGGAGGCAGCAGUGGGGAAUCUUAGACAAUGGGCGCAAGCCUGAUCUAGCCAUGCCGCGUGAGUGACGAAGGCCUUAGGGUCGUAAAGCUCUUUCGCCAGAGAUGAUAAUGACAGUAUCUGGUAAAGAAACCCCGGCUAACUCCGUGCCAGCAGCCGCGGUAAUAAGG